CAUAAUUUGCCAUCUGAAAAUGAACUGACGGCAUGACUUUUGCUGUUAGAUUACCAUUUGGCACCAUAUCUUGAUUUGACAGUUGACAGACUUUGGCAACACCGAUGCAGCGUCAAUUCCUUGCCCAUAAUUUCCUAAUCCAAUCCAGGUUUAGGUGAUUCAAAUUCUGCUGGAAAGCUAACUCAGAUGUAAUGGGCUCACUUGAAAAUUCUUCCAGCUUCUCUGGGAUUCUACAUCAAAGGUGGUUAAUAGAAGCUUAUUUUGUCUCCAGGUGUGCUUAUGACCUGCAUC
RNAcentral lists this long non-coding RNA (291 nucleotides) under Elaeis guineensis (African oil palm). RNAcentral's name for it is "long non-coding RNA (EGUI_LNC035668)". The record is from RNAcentral. Lineage: Eukaryota; Viridiplantae; Streptophyta; Magnoliopsida; Arecales; Arecaceae.